AGAGAGAGACAUGCGCGCAUAUCAAUAAGCGGAGGAAAAGAAACUAACAAGGAUUCCCCUAGUAACGGCGAGUGAAGCGGGAAGAGCUCAAAUUUGAAAUCUUAAAGGGUUUCCCUUUACGAAUUGUAGUUUAAAGAAGUGUUUUCUGUUGAGGUUUUGGUAAAAGUUCUUUGGAAUAGGACAUCAUAGAGGGUGAGAAUCCCGUAUUUGACCUUUACUUUCAACUUUGUGAUACACUUUCAAAGAGUCGGAUUGUUUGGGAAUGCAGUCCAAAAUGGGUGGUAAAUUUCAUCUAAAGCUAAAUAUUGGCGAGAGACCGAUAGCGAACAAGUACCGUGAGGGAAAGAUGAAAGGAACUUUGAAAAGAGAGUUAAACAGUACGUGAAAUUGUCAAAAGGGAAGCGUUUGACACCAGUGUUGUUUUUCUGAAAUCAAUUAAAGAACUGUUUAUGCUAAGCUGUUUAGACUUUAUCAGCUAUCUGUUUAGUUUUGAGCUUUUCUUUAAUGCACUUUUCAGUUAACAAGUCAACAUCAAUUUCUUUUGCUGUAAAAAAGCUUGAGGAAGGUGGCUUGAGAUUCGUCUUAAGUGUUUAUAGCCUCUUGCCUAUGCAGUCGGAGAGAUUGAGGUCUGCAGCGUAGAUCCUUCGGGGCUAAAUGCAUUUGUGCUAAGUUAUAGCAUUUUAUAGACAACUUGUUGACUAUGAUUUGUCUUGUAGCUUACUCGCUUAUGUUAUUUUACCUACGCUUAGGAUGUUGACGCAUGAGAUAUACGC
RNAcentral lists this ribosomal RNA (773 nucleotides) under uncultured Neocallimastigales. RNAcentral's name for it is "partial large subunit ribosomal RNA". It matches the Rfam family "Eukaryotic large subunit ribosomal RNA", at positions 23 to 647 of the family's 3401-position model. The record is from RNAcentral. Lineage: Eukaryota; Fungi; Neocallimastigomycota; Neocallimastigomycetes; Neocallimastigales.